This 225-nucleotide long non-coding RNA is filed under the name Gallus gallus (chicken). Lineage: Eukaryota; Metazoa; Chordata; Aves; Galliformes; Phasianidae. The record is from RNAcentral.
GGCAGAUAUUGGCAGUGUCCCGAAGAAUUGACUAAAACAUUAGUGUGAAAUGUAGCAUCAAAUCUUUCAUCAGCACUGUUAUAGAGAAGAAUAUCUGGCUUCCAAAUCAGUCCAUCAGGAAAACGGACGUUCUUCACUCCAGGGUAUUCAGACACAUUCCACUGUAAGUAAUGAUCUGUCCAGUACAUUUGUAGCCAGAUGUUUGUUGUUAAUACUUGAUUCUUU